RNAcentral lists this ribosomal RNA (2214 nucleotides) under Triticum aestivum (bread wheat). RNAcentral's name for it is "partial small subunit ribosomal RNA". Lineage: Eukaryota; Viridiplantae; Streptophyta; Magnoliopsida; Poales; Poaceae. The record is from RNAcentral.
AUGAAAUGCAACAAGUGGGGCAAAACAAAGGAAAUAGAGACAGAAUGCGUUGUGCCCACGAGGAAAAGUACAGUUAUUGCUAAAACUGAUUGUAAAGUUGUGGUGGUCAUAUCAGAGAAAGGAGGUUUUUGGGAAAUUACAAGACAACAACUUGAACACAACCACGAGUUAACACCAAACAGUAGAUUCUUCAGGUCACAUAAGUACAUGUCGGAUGAAGAGAAGUGCUUGAUACGGGUUUUGAAGCAUACUAACCUGGAAACAAGAAGGAUUGUUGCUGUCCUAGCUUACUUGAGAGGAGGAAUGGCUCAUCUUCCCUACACAAAGAAGCAUGUGACUAACUAUGCAGCAACAAUAAACAGAGAUAUCACAAACUCUGACAUGAUGGAAGUAGUGCACAUGUUCAACAAGAAGCAAGCAGAAAAUCCUGGAUUUUGCUACUCAUUUGAGCUUGAUGGAGACAAUAAAGUGAGAAGCUUAUUCUGGACAGAUGUUAGGUCAAGAAUGAUGUAUGACAUUUGCGAUGACUGCAUCAGUUUUGACACUACAUUCCUGACAAACAGAUACAACCUGCCGUUUGCACCCUUUGUUGGAAUAUCCCCGCAUGGAAACACAUACUUGUUUGCUUGUGCCUUCAUUAUCAACGAGACAAAAGAAACAUUUGCUUGGUUGUUUGAACAAUUCCUACUGGCUAUGGGAGGGAAGCAUCCUAUAUCGAUCAUUACAGAUCAGGACAAGGCUAUGCAAGCAGCAAUUGAAAAAUUGUUUCCUAAUGCUACCCAUAGGAGCUGCCUAUUUCACAUAAAGAAAAAGGCAGAGGAGAAAGUAGGUCCAUGUUUCCAAGCUAAUGAAGGCCUAUAUGAAGAUUUUCAGGACAUUGUGGACAACUCUUUGACUGUGGAAGAAUUUGAAACACAAUGGCAAGAAAUGAUUGAAAAGUAUCAAGUACAUGACAUAAAGUACUUCAGCGACAUGUGGGAAAAUAGGAAAAAGUUCAUCCCGGUGUAUUUCAAGGACAAAUUCUUCCCAUUCAUACAAAUUACAGCAAGAAGUGAAGGAACAAAUUCUCUCUUCAAAAAAGGGGUUGGAGCUAAAUUUAGUGCUACUAGCUUUUUAAGAGAGUAUGAUCGGAUUCUUGAUGUUGUACAUGACAGGGAAGAAGAAUGUGAUCAUGUUUCUAGAAACAAGAAGGUUGCAAGCAAAGCGUUCUGGUCAAAAUACAGCAUAGAAAGGCAAGCCCAUGAGUUAUACAACCUUGGGAUAUUUAGAAAGUUUCAGCAUAAAAUGGCAGACACAACAAGGCUGCAUGUCUUUGAGCAAGAAAAAGACAAAUACUACAUAGUUACCCAAGCUAAAAACUACCCUGUAAAAGAACGCCGGAAAAGGUUUUACCUAGUGCAAGUUGGAUUGAAAGAAGAAGAGUACUCCUGCAUCUGUUGCACAUUCCAAAAAGAUGGAUUGUUGUGCUCACACAUACUACGAGUAAUGAUCCAUCUCAACAUUGAGAAGAUGCUAGAAAAGUAAAUCAUUUACAGAUGGAGGAAAAAUAACUACAAGCUCGACAUUACAAAGACACCAGCUGUUGCAGCAGAGAACUCCACACUAAGGUACAAUGUGUUAGCAAGGAAAUUGGUGCAUGUGGCAUCAAUAGCUUCAAAGAAGAAGAGGAAGUAUGAAUAUCUGCUGGGAGAAUUGGACAGGAUACAGAAAAGAUUGCGAGAAAUGGAUGAUGAAGAAGAAAAUGGAGAUGAGGGACAGAGUGUAACCACAAGAACAGUCACUUUCAUACCAACAGCAGGAGGUGAAGAAGGGACAACCACGGCACUGACAAUACAAGACCCAGAUAUAGCCAAAACAAAGGGUAGGCCAAGGAUGCUAACUAUUCGCGAAGCAAUAAAACAGAACAAGUUCUACAAAUGCUCGCAUUGUGGAUCGGAAAGGCACACUCUCAAGAAUUGCACCAACCUUGACAAAGAAUACAAUCUACCCAGAAGCAACAGACGAAAGCAGUCCAACCCUAGGAAUGUGAAAAAAGGUAUUUUAAUAAUCAUCUUGUACCCCUGUGCUACACUUACUUUAAUUCAAGAAUUUGUAAAUAACAAAAAAUGCAGGUGGGGAGAAGGAUGGCAGCAAGCAUUCGAACAGAGGAAAGAAGAAGAAGGACGAAUGAGCAACAACAAAGGCUUAGGGGACAAGAAUGAGAGGAGGAGAUAG